ACCUCGGCUCAGGUUGAGAACCUCAGCUCAGGUUGAGGAACCUCUUCAGCUCAGGUUGAGAACUUCAGCUCAGGUUGAGGACCUCAGCUCAGGUUGAGAACUUCAGCUCAGGUUGAGGACCUCAGCUCAGGUUGAGAACUUCAGCUCAGGUUGAGGACCUCAGCUCAGGUUGAGAACCUCAGCUCAGGUUGAGGAACCUCUUCAGCUCAGGUUGAGAACCUCAGCUCAGGUUGAGGAACGUCUUCAGCUCAGGUUGAGAACUUCAGCUCAGGUUGAGGACCUCAGCUCAGGUUGAGAACUUCAGCUCAGGUUGAGGACCUCAGCUCAGGUUGAGGAACCCCUUCAGCUCAGGUUGAGGAACCUCGGCUCAGGUUGACAGCUGUUCUCUGGCCCCGCCAGCGUGUCCCAGCGUAGUGCAGUGCAGGGUCUUGUCCGUGAAGGACUCUCCAGGUGGACAAAACCAGCACAGGAAACGGACAAUCCCUGUGGUCUCCACGAGAAUGCUGUCAAACGUCAGAACUGUUUUCAUCCCACACACGUUUGUGAUCUGGAAGGGAAGUUUUGGUAAUAACCGGAAGCUCCAGGCUUGGUCUGAACACUGUAAAGUGGGGAGAACUAAGUUUCAAACAGGAAUCAUCGGCACCUGGGAUUCUCCAUGAAACCGAGCCCGAAGCAGAGGUUGAUGUGGAAGUUACCAUUCGCUUUCCUGGGGACACGGGUGGGGAACAGGUGAGAGG
RNAcentral lists this long non-coding RNA (737 nucleotides) under Marmota monax (woodchuck). Lineage: Eukaryota; Metazoa; Chordata; Mammalia; Rodentia; Sciuridae. The record is from RNAcentral.